This 458-nucleotide ribosomal RNA is filed under the name uncultured bacterium. RNAcentral's name for it is "partial 16S ribosomal RNA". It matches the Rfam family "Bacterial small subunit ribosomal RNA", at positions 338 to 795 of the family's 1533-position model. The record is from RNAcentral.
CCUACGGGAGGCAGCAGUGAGGAAUAUUGGUCAAUGGACGGAAGUCUGAACCAGCCAUGCCGCGUGCAGGAAGACGGCUCUAUGAGUUGUAGACUGCUUUUGUACGGGUAAACCUGAAUACGUGUAUUCACCUGUAAGUACUGUACGAAUAAGGAUCUGCUAACUCUGUGCCAGCAGCCGCGGUAAUACGGAGGAUCCAAGCGUUAUCCGGAUUUUUUUGGUUUAAAGGGUGCGUGGGCGGAUUGAUUAGUUAGAGGUGAAAUGUCCGAGCUUAACUCGGGAACUGCCGCUCAUACUGGUGAUCUAGAGAGGGGAUGCGGUAGGCGGAAUGUAUGGUGUAGCGGUGAAAUGCUUAGAGAUCGUACAGAACACCGAUUGCGAAGGCAGCUUACCAAUCUAAAUCUGACGUUGAGGCACGAAAGCGUGGGGAGCGAACAGGAUUAGAUACCCGAGUAGUC